RNAcentral lists this non-coding RNA (46 nucleotides) under Schistosoma margrebowiei. The record is from RNAcentral. Lineage: Eukaryota; Metazoa; Platyhelminthes; Trematoda; Strigeidida; Schistosomatidae.
AUAACAGCUGACGAAUCCCAAAUAGGGCGAAACGCACGUACUGUAU